Molecule: ribosomal RNA, 422 nt
Filed under: uncultured eukaryote
Lineage: Eukaryota
Description: bacterial SSU rRNA
Rfam family: Eukaryotic small subunit ribosomal RNA
Source: RNAcentral
CAAUAGCGUAUAUUAAAGUUGUUGCGGUUAAAAGCUCGUAGUUGGAUUUCUGUUGAUAACGGCCGGUCCGCACUAUGUGCGUGUAUCAGGUUCGGUGUCGGCAUCCUCGUGGGGAUCGUUUCUGUGCUUGAUUGCAUGGGGCGGGAAUUGCAUCGACUUUACUUUGAUGGAAAGAUUAGAGUGUUCACGGCAAGCUAUCGCUUUGAAUACAUUAGCAUGGAAUAAUGAUAUAGGGCGUAAGUUCUAUUUUGUUGGUUUCUAGGACGUACGCAAUGAUUAAUAGGGAUAAUUGGGGCGGAUUCGUAUUAACGCGUCAGAGGUGGAAUUCUUAGAUUGCGUUACGACGAACUACUGCGAAAGCAUUUGCCAAGGAUGUUUUCAUUGAUCAAGAACGAAAGUAUGGGGAUCGAAGACGAUUAGAU